Non-coding RNA from Mycena rosella, 94 nucleotides. The record is from the annotation of a GenBank genome assembly. Lineage: Eukaryota; Fungi; Basidiomycota; Agaricomycetes; Agaricales; Mycenaceae.
GGCCGUGUGGCAAAAUGGUUACUGCGUUGCUUUCCGAGUGCUGUUUACGUAACCACCAAGGCAGAGACUGUGGGUUCGAGUCCCACCAUGGUCG